This 26-nucleotide non-coding RNA is filed under the name Mus musculus (house mouse). Lineage: Eukaryota; Metazoa; Chordata; Mammalia; Rodentia; Muridae. The record is from RNAcentral.
UUGGAUGAUGAAGAUGACAGUCUGCA